CUACGGGUGGCAGCAGUGGGGAAUAUUGGACAAUGGGCGAAAGCCUGAUCCAGCCAUGCCGCGUGUGUGAAGAAGGCCUUCGGGUUGUAAAGCACUUUCAGUGGGGAAGAAAGCCUUGGGGCUAAUACCCUCGAGGAAGGACAUCACCCACAGAAGAAGCACCGGCUAACUCCGUGCCAGCAGCCGCGGUAAUACGGAGGGUGCGAGCGUUAAUCGGAAUUACUGGGCGUAAAGCGCGCGUAGGCGGUCUGAUAAGCCGGUUGUGAAAGCCCCGGGCUCAACCUGGGAACGGCAUCCGGAACUGUCAGGCUAGAGUGCAGGAGAGGAAGGUAGAAUUCCCGGUGUAGCGGUGAAAUGCGUAGAGAUCGGGAGGAAUACCAGUCGCGAAGGCGGCCUUCUGGACUGACACUGACGCUGAGGUGCGAAAGCGUGGGUAGCAAACAGGAUUAGAUACCCUAGUAGUC
Molecule: ribosomal RNA, 464 nt
Filed under: Vreelandella stevensii
Lineage: Bacteria; Pseudomonadati; Pseudomonadota; Gammaproteobacteria; Oceanospirillales; Halomonadaceae
Description: partial 16S ribosomal RNA
Rfam family: Bacterial small subunit ribosomal RNA
Source: RNAcentral